Molecule: ribosomal RNA, 552 nt
Filed under: Saccharomyces cerevisiae (brewer's yeast)
Lineage: Eukaryota; Fungi; Ascomycota; Saccharomycetes; Saccharomycetales; Saccharomycetaceae
Description: eukaryotic LSU rRNA
Rfam family: Eukaryotic large subunit ribosomal RNA
Source: RNAcentral
AGCGGAGGAAAGGAAACCACCCGGGAUUGCCUUAGUAACGGCGAGUGAAGCGGCAAAAGCUCAAAUUUGAAAUCUGGUACCUUCGGUGCCCGAGUUGUAAUUUGGAGAGGGCAACUUUGGGGCCGUUCCUCGUCUAUGUUCCUUGGAACAGGACGUCAUAGAGGGUGAGAAUCCCGUGUGGCGAGGAGUGCGGUUCUUUGUAAAGUGCCUUCGAAGAGUCGAGUUGUUUGGGAAUGCAGCUCUAAGUGGGUGGUAAAUUCCAUCUAAAGCUAAAUAUUGGCGAGAGACCGAUAGCGAACAAGUACAGUGAUGGAAAGAUGAAAAGAACUUUGAAAAGAGAGUGAAAAAGUACGUGAAAUUGUUGAAAGGGAAGGGCAUUUGAUCAGACAUGGUGUUUUGUGCCCUCUGCUCCUUGUGGGUAGGGGAAUCUCGCAUUUCAGCUGGGCCAGCAUCAGUUUUGGUGGCAGGAUAAAUCCACUAGGAAUGCUAGCUUCGCCUCGGUAACGUAUUAUACGCCGCUGUGGGAAAAGUUGUCCAGCUGGGACUUGGCAC